Limulus polyphemus (Atlantic horseshoe crab) is the source of this 1467-nucleotide long non-coding RNA. RefSeq lists it as uncharacterized. The transcript is spliced from 2 exons. The record is from RefSeq and is a predicted model, not a curated record. Lineage: Eukaryota; Metazoa; Arthropoda; Merostomata; Xiphosura; Limulidae.
UGCCGGGCUUCUAAAAAGUAAUUAUGAUUUAGUAAUAAUAUAUUAAAACCAUGGAAUUAAUGAGUUAGGGAUGUGUUUUAUACAUAAAGUGACAUAUGAUUGUAAAAGCAUGUAAGGUAAAUUAUUGGCUGUGCUAUGAUAUUUGUAAGGUAAAUUAUUGGCUGUGCUAUGAUAUUUGUAAGGUAAAUUAUUGGCUGUGCUAUGAUAUUUGAGAAGUGUUUUAUACAUAAAACGGAUCAUUCUACAAUAAUAUUUGCCUCCUUCAAAUAAUACAUAAAUUAAUAUAGUAAGUGUAACAGAAACUUUUACAUAACACAUCUUUAACCUGCUAUAUUUCAAUAACUUUUAAAGAGGAAACAACUUAAUGAAAUCUAAAACAUUUAUUUAAUUAAAAGAAAAAACAGAAAUGUUUAUUAGUUAAUUAUUUUUAUCAAAUCUCUGUUAACAUUUAACUUCCACCAAAAAGCAGGCUUCUAGAAUAAGACCACCAGUCUACAGUACCUUAGUAACACUAUCCGCCUAUGGUAACGCUAUCUGCCCUAGCAGCAAUGACCUUAAUAAGACCACCAGUCCAUAGUAACUUAGUAACACUAUCCGCCUAUAGUAACACUAUCUGCCCUAGCAGUAAUAACCUUAGUAAGACCACCAGUCUAUAGUAACUUUGUUGAUUGUUACUGAAGUGUGAACUAUAAAGUUAGUGACACGUUUCUAUUUGUUGAUCGACAUCAUCUUCUAGUGGUUCGCUUGCGAUCUAUCUGCGCGCUCAUGAUAGAUGACCUCAUCAUCCUACCCCUCCUCUAGCAACGCGCCCUUUGGUGCCACUUCAGGAAUGUAUGACUCCUAGCAACACUCCCUCUGCUAUUGAACUAUAAUGUCACCCCUCUCCUAGCCACUCGCUCUCUGGUGCCACUUCGUGGAACUGUGGCAUCUCUACUCCAUCUGGUGUCGACGCAUAAGUUGCAUAUUACAUAAUAGUUGUGUAAUUCUCAGGCGAUAUACUUUGAUCUUCAUUCACUUGGCGACGCCACCCCCCAUCCCCCCCCCCCACCAUGAAGCAGCAUCCCUUGAAAGGUGAAGAACUGCUCUUACCACUAACAUCCUCCUGGUUGGAUGACAAAUGGAUUUACUAGUAGUUUCAAGAAUUAACACAAUCCUCCCUCUGGGUGAAUAACCAGAUGAUUUACCAGUAGUUUCAAGAAUUAACCCAAUCCUCCUUCUGGGUGGAUGACAAACGGAUUUACCAGUAGUUUCAAGAAUUAACACAAUCCUCCUUCUGGGUGGAUGACAAACGGAUUUACCAGUAGUUUCAAGAAUUAACACAAUCCUCCUUCUGGGUGGAUGACAAACGGAUUUACCAGUAGUUUCAAGAAUUAACACAAUCCUCCUUCUGGGGAAUGACCAGAUGAUUUACCAGUAGUUUCAAGAAUUAACACAAUCCUCCUUCUGGGGAAUGACCAGAUGAUUUAC